Molecule: transfer RNA, 75 nt
Filed under: Sphaerodactylus townsendi
Lineage: Eukaryota; Metazoa; Chordata; Lepidosauria; Squamata; Sphaerodactylidae
Description: tRNA-Ala
Source: RNAcentral
GGAGAGGCUGUGGCUUAAUGGGAGAGAACUUGCUUGGCAUGUAGAAGGCCCCAGGUUCAAUUCCCAGUAUUUCCA